This 122-nucleotide microRNA precursor is filed under the name Podarcis lilfordi (Lilford's wall lizard). The record is from RNAcentral. Lineage: Eukaryota; Metazoa; Chordata; Lepidosauria; Squamata; Lacertidae.
UGUUUUUAUUGCUUCUUUUAUUUUGCAUCUUGUAUUUUACUGUAUUACAGUUUGAAUUCUAUGGAUUACACAUUGUAAUUCAAUAAAAUACAGGAUGCAAAAUAAAAGAAGCAAUAAAAAUA